RNAcentral lists this ribosomal RNA (1017 nucleotides) under Ammonia tepida. RNAcentral's name for it is "SSU rRNA". It matches the Rfam family "Eukaryotic small subunit ribosomal RNA", at positions 1160 to 1804 of the family's 1831-position model. The record is from RNAcentral. Lineage: Eukaryota; Foraminifera; Rotaliida; Rotaliidae.
AAGGGCACCACAAGAACGCGUGGAGCAUGUGGCUUAAUUUGACUCAACGCGGGAAAUCUUACCGGGUCCGGACACACUGAGGAUUGACAGAUAUACGCUCAUUUGCAUGUGCUUCGGCGCUGCAUUUGAGCUGAAAGAUGCUAGUUCUUUCAUGAUUAUGUGAUAGGUGGUGCAUGGCCGUUCUUAGUUCGUGGAGUGAUCUGUCUGCUUAAUUGCGUAUCAAUAAUAGAGACCUAGUAUACGCGUGGAUUUCGCGUGGUAGUGACCCCCUGUUCGCGCAGGCGUGUGUCGCACACGCGUGCCGCGCACUGGUCUCAGAUAGCAACGAACGUGACCGUAUUCUAUUGUUGCAGUGAAAUGUACUUUCGAGUACGACCCACUGCUUAGUAUAUGCACGUGCUUCGGUGCGAGCAAUAUACAUUAAACUAUAGAGACCGCUGUUUCUUCUUUAACCAGAGGAAGGAUACGGCAAUAACAGGUCUGUGAUGCCCUCAGAUGUUCCGGGCUGCACACGUGCUACAAUGAUCAUUGCACUGUGCAUCUAACCCAAUGUGCGUGGACGCCGCAUGUAUGUACUCCUUGUGGGUACACGCAUUGCUGAGCGACCACGCCGAACCUACUUCGAAAGUAAAAUUUCUCUGUGGGUAAUCCAUUAGAAGUAAUGACUCGCAUAGACCAUGGCACAACUAUAUGUACGCGCAGGUCUACCCGGCUCGCCUUUGUGUGAGUGCAGUGCGUAGCUUGUUGUUUCGUACGUGCCACUCCGUAUUAAUUCGUACGUGGGGAUAGAUCAUUGUUUAAUUGUUGGUCUCGGUCUUAACUAGGAAUGCCUUGUACGGGUCUCUGGUUCAACAUACCACCCGGAAUACGUCCCUGCCCUUUGUACACACCGCCCGUCGCUCUUACCGAUGGAUUAUGCUAUGAAUCUAUAGGACUGCCAAAGUUGCCUCGGCUGCUUAGUGGAAAUAUAUAUGAAUAGCGUGAUCUAAAGGAAAGAGAAGUCGUAACAAGGCAUCA